RNAcentral lists this ribosomal RNA (442 nucleotides) under uncultured bacterium. RNAcentral's name for it is "partial 16S ribosomal RNA". It matches the Rfam family "Bacterial small subunit ribosomal RNA", at positions 338 to 795 of the family's 1533-position model. The record is from RNAcentral.
CCUACGGGUGGCAGCAGUGGGGAAUCUUGGGCAAUGGGCGCAAGCCUGACGCAGCAACGCCGCGUGAAGGAAGAAGGCUUUCGGGUUGUAAACUUCUUUUAUGGGGGAAGAGCAGAAGACGGUACCCCUUGAAUAAGCUACGGCUAACUACGUGCCAGCAGCCGCGGUAAUACGUAGGUGGCAAGCGUUGUCCGGCUUUACUGGGUGGAAAGGGCGUGCAGCCGGUGAGACAAGUCAGAUGUGAAAUCCACGGGCUCAACCCGUGAACUGCAUUUGAAACUGGUUGCCUUGAGUGUCGGAGAGGUAAGCGGAAUUCCUUGUGUAGCGGUGAAAUGCGUAGAUAUAAGGAAGAACACCAGUGGCGAAGGCGGAUUACUGGACGAUAACUGACGGUGAGGCGCGAAAGCGUGGGGAGCAAACAGGAUUAGAUACCCCGGUAGUC